CAACUAUCUCAGACCAUGAAGCCAUGGAAGGGACCUCUGCUGCAAAUUUUUCAAGUAUCCCUACUCUGUCCCGAAGGCUCUCAGAUAAGGUGGCGGGG
This is a long non-coding RNA of Mauremys reevesii (Reeves's turtle), 98 nucleotides long. RefSeq lists it as uncharacterized. NCBI's taxonomy places the organism in Eukaryota, Metazoa, Chordata, Testudines, Geoemydidae. The record is from RefSeq and is a predicted model, not a curated record. The transcript has 2 exons.